Non-coding RNA from Ceratotherium simum simum (southern white rhinoceros), 458 nucleotides. The record is from RefSeq and is a predicted model, not a curated record. Lineage: Eukaryota; Metazoa; Chordata; Mammalia; Perissodactyla; Rhinocerotidae.
GAGAAGAAACAAAAGAGAAGAAUUUAGUCAUGAAGGCUUAUAAGGAGAUUCUUGACAUGUGUCAAAAUGCCCUAGUAAAUUGUACCGUGGCUAUAGUUCAGAGUAUUUAUUUAUAAAUCAGUUCAUUUAAGAGAUAUCAUUGAAUGACUCUGGACCAGUCACUGGUAUGGGCACUGGAGAUACAAAGAGAGAUAAGGUUGACCUUGACCUCUGGAGCCCUCAGUUUUGUAGACUGUCAAGGAAGCUUACAGCUAAUUGCAUUCCUUUUUCUUUAUCUUUCAGUAGGCCUAAAAAGUGUUUAUCACUCUUUGGAAAUCUGCAGGCAGGUGAACAGACUUGGCUCAUAUGAGAACUACCAAAUUCAUUAAAUUAAGGCAAAAAUAUUCAUCCCGAUUUUUGGGUAAUAAACAAAAUAUAGUAACAUUAAUACCAUUGUGACACAGUGCGAAAUUAAGGAA